RNAcentral lists this ribosomal RNA (600 nucleotides) under fungal endophyte sp. E9-2162. Its description in RNAcentral is "eukaryotic LSU rRNA". The stretch from base 255 to 408 matches the Rfam family "5.8S ribosomal RNA". Lineage: Eukaryota; Fungi. The record is from RNAcentral.
AACGUAACAAGGUCUCCGUUGGUGAACCAGCGGAGGGAUCAUUAUUAGAGAGUUAUUGAACUCAUAAACCCUUUGUGAACCUUACCGUCGUUGCCUCGGCGUGAGCUGCGGCUACCCUGUAACUACCCUGUAGCUGCCUACCCUGUAGUCGGCUACCCGGUAUUUACCCUGUAGCUUGCUCAAGGCCCGCCGAAGGACCACCAAACUCUGUUUAAUAAUGUGUAUCUCUGAAUAUUAUAACUGAAAUCAGUUAAAACUUUCAACAACGGAUCUCUUGGUUCUGGCAUCGAUGAAGAACGCAGCGAAAUGCGAUAAGUAAUGUGAAUUGCAGAAUUCAGUGAAUCAUCGAAUCUUUGAACGCACAUUGCGCCCAUUAGUAUUCUAGUGGGCAUGCCUAUUCGAGCGUCAUUUCAACCCUUAAGCCCCUGUUGCUUAGCGUUGGGAAUCUACGAUUACAGCGUAGUUCUUUAAAGUUAGUGGCGGAGUUGGGGCGUACUUCAAGCGUAGUAAUUUUUUCCUCGCUUUGGAAGUUGCCGUAGCUAUUAGCCGUAAAACCUUUACUGGCUAAGUGGAUGACCGGAGGAUCACGUGGAUGCGGAC